Molecule: small RNA, 628 nt
Filed under: Pan troglodytes (chimpanzee)
Lineage: Eukaryota; Metazoa; Chordata; Mammalia; Primates; Hominidae
Description: retained intron
Source: RNAcentral
CGCGCGCGGGCGGGGAGCGCGCGGGGAGGGGGACGCGGCUCGGGGCGCUCACCAGCCCCGCUCCCCAGGGCUCACCCCAACACCCUGCACUGGGUCGAUGAGGCCGGGAAGGUCGGAGAGCAGCUGCCGCUGGAGGACCCUGACGUCUACUGCCCCUACAGCGCCAUCGGCAACGUCACGGGAGAGCUGGUGUACGCCCACUACGGGCGGCCCAAAGACCUGCAGGACCUGCGGGCCAGGGGCGUGGACCCAGUGGGCCGCCUGCUGCUGGUGCGCGUGGGGGUGAUCAGCUUCGCCCAGAAGGUGACCAAUGCUCAGGACUUCGGGGCUCAAGGAGUGCUCAUAUACCCAGAGCCAGCGGACUUCUCCCAGGACCCACCCAAGCCAAGCCUGUCCAGCCAGCAGGCAGUGUAUGGACAUGUGCACCUGGGAACUGGAGACCCCUACACACCUGGCUUCCCUUCCUUCAAUCAAACCCAGUUCCCUCCAGUUGCAUCAUCAGGCCUUCCCAGCAUCCCAGUCCAGCCCAUCAGUGCAGACAUUGCCUCCCGCCUGCUGAGGAAGCUCAAAGGCCCUGUGGCCCCCCAAGAAUGGCAGGGGAGCCUCCUAGGCUCCCCUUAUCACCUGG